GCGGUGGAGCAUGUGGUUUAAUUCGAAGCAACGCGAAGAACCUUACCAGGUCUUGACAUCCCGAUGCUAUUUCUAGAGAUAGAAAGUUACUUCGGUACAUCGGUGACAGGUGGUGCAUGGUUGUCGUCAGCUCGUGUCGUGAGAUGUUGGGUUAAGUCCCGCAACGAGCGCAACCCCUAUUGUUAGUUGCCAUCAUUCAGUUGGGCACUCUAGCGAGACUGCCGGUAAUAAACCGGAGGAAGGUGGGGAUGACGUCAAAUCAUCAUGCCCCUUAUGACCUGGGCUACACACGUGCUACAAUGGUUGGUACAACGAGUUGCGAGUCGGUGACGGCGAGCUAAUCUCUUAAAGCCAAUCUCAGUUCGGAUUGUAGGCUGCAACUCGCCUACAUGAAGUCGGAAUCGCUAGUAAUCGCGGAUCAGCACGCCGCGGUGAAUACGUUCCCGGGCCUU
Molecule: ribosomal RNA, 452 nt
Filed under: uncultured Streptococcus sp.
Lineage: Bacteria; Bacillati; Bacillota; Bacilli; Lactobacillales; Streptococcaceae
Description: bacterial SSU rRNA
Rfam family: Bacterial small subunit ribosomal RNA
Source: RNAcentral